This 528-nucleotide ribosomal RNA is filed under the name Spermophagus negligens. Its description in RNAcentral is "partial 16S ribosomal RNA". It matches the Rfam family "Bacterial large subunit ribosomal RNA", at positions 1807 to 2608 of the family's 2925-position model. Lineage: Eukaryota; Metazoa; Arthropoda; Insecta; Coleoptera; Chrysomelidae. The record is from RNAcentral.
UCAAAAACAUGGCUUUUUGAUAAUAAUUUAAAGUCAGGCCUGCCCACUGAGUAUUGAAGGGCCGCGGUAAUUUGACCGUGCUAAGGUAGCAUAAUCAUUAGUUUCUUAAUUAGGAGCUAGAAUGAAUGGUUUCAUGAAAAAAUAGCUGUCUCUAUAUAAUUUAUUUAGAAUUUUAUUUUUAAGUUAAAAAGCUUAAAUUUCUUUAAAAGACGAGAAGACCCUAUAGAGUUUAAUAUUUUUAUUAAUAAAGUUAUAGUGGUAUAAAAUUUAUUUUAUUAUUAAAAAUAUUUGGUUGGGGUGAUUGAAAAAUUAAAUAAACUUUUUUUAUUAAAAAUCAUUAAUUUAUGAUUAAUUGAUCCAUUUUUAGUGAUUAAAAGAAAAAAUUACCUUAGGGAUAACAGCGUUAUUAUUUUUGAGAGUUCUUAUCGAAAAAAUAGAUUGCGACCUCGAUGUUGGAUUAAAAUUAAUUUUUGGUGUAGCUGCUAGAAUAUUAGGUCUGUUCGACCUUUAAAAUUUUACAUGAUCUGA